This 459-nucleotide ribosomal RNA is filed under the name uncultured bacterium. Its description in RNAcentral is "partial 16S ribosomal RNA". It matches the Rfam family "Bacterial small subunit ribosomal RNA", at positions 338 to 795 of the family's 1533-position model. The record is from RNAcentral.
CCUACGGGUGGCAGCAGUGAGGAAUAUUGGUCAAUGGUCGGGAGACUGAACCAGCCAAGCCGCGUGAGGGAUGAAGGUACAGAGUAUCGUAAACCUCUUUUGUCAGGGAACAAAGGCGGGGACGUGUCCCCGGAUGAGUGUACCUGAAGAAAAAGCAUCGGCUAACUCCGUGCCAGCAGCCGCGGUAAUACGGAGGAUGCGAGCGUUCUCCGGGUUUAUUGGGGUUAAAGGGUGCGCAGGCGGUCUGUUAAGUCAGCGGUAAAAGCCCGGGGCUCAACCCCGGCCCGCCGUUGAAACUGGCAGUCUCGAGUUGGAGAGAAGUAUGCGGAAUGCGCGGUGGAGCGGUGAAAUGCAUAGAUAUCGCGCAGAACUCCGAUUGCGAAGGCAGCAUGCCGGCUCCACACUGACGCUGAGGCACGAAAGCGUGGGUAUCGAACAGGAUUAGAUACCCUAGUAGUC